GCCUGCCUGGCACAGAAAUGCCUCCAGGACAAGGGCAGCAACACAGCAAAGUCCUCCAGGACUUGGCUCCACGCUCUGCUUUCCACCAACACCCAGGUGGACAUAAAGUCACGUUUUCCAAAGGUGCGACCAGCCUGGAAAGCACCAGCAAGCACACCGGCAGUGUGAGGAGGAGGCAGGAUAGUUCCUUCUGCCUCCAACAGGUUUCCUAGCUGGACAAACCCCAGGUCCAAUGACAGGCUCCCGGCAUUGCUCAUCCUGGCCAGAAACCUGACCCCAGCUGGACUUUGCCCGCCAUGAGAUGGCCUGGGAAGUUGAAUGGAAAGAGAUGGGAAGCAUGGGCUAGGGCAGGGAUGAGAGGAACGUAAUCAGGGCUGGGAGCUGCCAGCGGGGUUAAGAGCUGUGGGUUUAUCAAACACAAUAUCAUGCCCCCCCCUCCCUGGAAUAUAAAGGGAGUGAAACAGAAGCCGUGUGGGAGAUAAGGCGGCAGCACCCAGCAGCUCAUAUGGAAUUACUGCAGUGACCUUGACCAAGACGUGGCCAGAACUCCUAUGCCGCCCACCUGCCCUCUGCCACCAGACUCCUCCCUGGGGAGGAAAGAUGCCAGCACAGGACAUUCUUCCAUUGUACGUGACUGAUGUAAAACUUUCAUCUACCCGGUGUUGUAUUAACAGAUUUUCCUGUGGGUAGAUGAACACAUGGAGCCUGGUUUCAAUAGGCUGGACUGAAGAUAUGGAUCCAUGGAGAUAUGGAUGGGCUUUGCCAUCCUUUAAGGGCCAAAGCCUUUCUGGGGAAUGCUGUCCAGCUGCUUUUACCAGGAAGGUGACACUUCCUGACAUCAGACCAAGACAGACCCCACACAGAGCUCACUCUGCCUCGGGAACCUGCUCCAAGUAAAGUCCAAUGUGCCAAACUCAGGUCUGGGAUGCCUCCACAAAAAGCCCCAUUCCAGCAGUGAUGAACACAUGAGGAAAAUGGUGAUGAGCCCAGACACACAAGCAGAUGGAUGGACUGGAGGGGUGUCUCUAACACGAGGCCUUACCAUGGCUCACAACUUUUAGAGCACAAAUUUCUCUCAUUUAAGAGUGAUUAGUCUUGGAAGGAAGCAUGUAACACCUGGCUCAGAAUGGGGCAUGGGUACCUGGAGCUCAAUGGAAAGAGAUGGCAAGAUCAGCACAAGAAGGAAAAUUUUGAGUGCAAAACCAGGCAGGGUGGCAACACCCCUUGGGACAGUGUUUUUAGUGGGAUCCAGAAUGCCUCAGACAAGCAUCCCAUCAGCAAGUCCCAAGGGGAGACUGGACAAGCCACCAAAAAUAUGAUAAAAACCAGGAUGGAUUUGUCUGCUCUCGUGGUACCAGUAUUCAUGAGUACAAGAACACCCUGCUCACUCACCUGCUAGCCAAGCACAAUCAAGACACAAAGAACACACCUCAUGGUAACUGGCACUUUUAAAUUCUCCUUUAGCAGAAAUACCAGUAUUUUCCAGUCUUAACGUUUUCUGAGGUGGUGAUGCUUCUUGCCUUGUCUCUUCUUGGCAAGCAUCAUCUGUAGCAGUAACAGAUGACCUAGCAGUAGUCUCACAUCACAGUGUGUCAGAAAAAAGGCAGCCCAGUAUUUGUAAUCACUGAAUCACUUCAGAAAGAAGAAUCUCCACUCAAUCUGUGUAAACAUGGUUAUUUAUUUCAUUUUUUUAAAAGCAAGUUUAUUUCUACAUACAGAGGGCUUCACUUCCACUUCAGAGCAUGUUACUGCUUUACAUCCUCAAAUAAAGAUACCAUUUCACUCA
Parus major (Great Tit) is the source of this 1786-nucleotide long non-coding RNA. RefSeq lists it as uncharacterized. The transcript is spliced from 3 exons. NCBI's taxonomy places the organism in Eukaryota, Metazoa, Chordata, Aves, Passeriformes, Paridae. The record is from RefSeq and is a predicted model, not a curated record.